Molecule: ribosomal RNA, 466 nt
Filed under: uncultured bacterium
Lineage: Bacteria
Description: partial 16S ribosomal RNA
Rfam family: Bacterial small subunit ribosomal RNA
Source: RNAcentral
GACGAACGCUGGCGGCGCGCCUAACACAUGCAAGUCGAACGAGCGAGAGGGAGCUUGCUUUCUCGAGCGAGUGGCGAACGGGUGAGUAACGCGUGAGGAACCUGCCUCAAAGAGGGGGACAACAGUUGGAAACGACUGCUAAUACCGCAUAAGCCCACGGUGCCGCAUGGCACAGAGGGAAAAGGAGCAAUCCGCUUUGAGAUGGCCUCGCUUCCGAUUAGCUAGUUGGGGAGGUAAUGGCCCACCAAGGCGACGAUCGGUAGCCGGACUGAGAGGUUGACCGGCCACAUUGGGACUGAGACACGGCCCAGACUCCUACGGGAGGCAGGAGAGGGGAAUAUUGCACAAUGGGGGAAGCCCUGAUGCAGCGACGCCGCGUGGAGGAAGAAGGUCUUCGGAUUGUAAACUCCUGUUGUUGGGGAAGAUAAUGACGGUACCCAACAAGGAAGUGACGGCUAACUACGUG